Molecule: ribosomal RNA, 425 nt
Filed under: uncultured bacterium
Lineage: Bacteria
Description: partial 16S ribosomal RNA
Rfam family: Bacterial small subunit ribosomal RNA
Source: RNAcentral
GUUAGGAAUAUUGGACAAUGGGCGCAAGCCUGAUCCAGCCAUGCCGCGUGAGUGAUGAAGGCCUUCGGGUUGUAAAGCUCUUUAGUCCACGAAUAUAAUGACUGUAGUGGAAGAAUAAGCCCCGGCUAACUUCGUGCCAGCAGCCGCGGUAAUACGAAGGGGGCGAGCGGUAUUCGGAAUCACUGGGCGUAAAGCGUGCGUAGGCUGUUUUGUAAGUCAGAAGUGAAAGCCCAGGGCUUAACCCUGGAAUUGCUUUUGAAACUACAAGACUCGAAUUCGGGAGAGGAUAGCGGAAUUGUCAGUGUAGCAGUGAAAUGCGUAGAUAUUGACAGGAACACCAGUGGCGCAAGCGGCUAUCUGGACCGAUAUUGACGCUGAGGCACGAAAGCGUGGGGAGCAAACAGGAUUAGAAACCCUGGUAGUCC